UGGGGAAUAUUGCACAAUGGGCGCAAGCCUGAUGCAGCCAUGCCGCGUGUAUGAAGAAGGCCUUCGGGGUGUAAAGUACUUUCAGUGGGGAGGAAGGUGGUAAGGUUAAUAACCUUAGCAAUUGACGUUACCGACAGAAGAAGCACCGGCUAACUGCGUGCCAGCAGCCGCGGUAAUACGGAGGGUGCAAGCGUUAAUCGGAAUUACUGGGCGUAAAGCGCACGCAGGCGGUUGAUUGAGUCAGAUGUGAAAUCCCCGGGCUUAACCCGGGAAUUUCAUCUGUUACUGGUCAGCUCGAGUGUUGUCGAGGGGGGUAGAAUUCCAUGUGUAGCGGUGAAAUGCGUAGAGAUGUGGAGGCCUACCGCUGGCGAAGGCGCCCCCCUGGACAAAGACUGACGCUCAGGUGCGAAAGCGUGGGGCGCAAACAGG
Molecule: ribosomal RNA, 429 nt
Filed under: Chloroflexota bacterium
Lineage: Bacteria; Bacillati; Chloroflexota
Description: Chloroflexi bacterium partial 16S ribosomal RNA
Rfam family: Bacterial small subunit ribosomal RNA
Source: RNAcentral